This is a long non-coding RNA of Myiozetetes cayanensis, 3736 nucleotides long. RefSeq lists it as uncharacterized. The transcript has 3 exons. The record is from RefSeq and is a predicted model, not a curated record. NCBI's taxonomy places the organism in Eukaryota, Metazoa, Chordata, Aves, Passeriformes, Tyrannidae.
AGACAAGAUGGCUGGUACAGUAACAGUGCAAACACUGAGUUUUGAAAAUGGUAACAUCAGUCUGAUUGACAAGAAUCUGGAGCUGCCUAGAGCUAACAUCCGAAACACUGGAGCUGCAACUUCUGAAGUAACUGUGUCUUUUGGCAAGGCCCGUAGCCCAGGUAGCCCUUGGGGGUCCCUCUGUGGCAUAGGCAAAGGGAUGUCUGGGAUUUCCCAAUGUCCACAGUAUCCUGAUAGACCUCUUCUAAGCCACUUUUAAGAAAUGGAGACUUGGAAACUUCAGUGCACAGCCUGCCAGGAACAAGGACUGCCGCAGUUCAACUAUGCCACUGUGGAAGGAAAGGAACUGUCUUUUCCUCUACGGGGAGGGAAAGAGGUUCAGGUCAGCACCAUUCUGAAAGAACAGAAGGCACCCUUCAAGCCUGACUCCUCGCAUUUUUCUGUCUCAGACUGACUCUCUGAUGUUCCACCAAAACCCUUAUCACAACUGGCACAUUCAAAAUCACACUCCUCUAUGUGGAUUUUUGAGCACCUAACGUGGAAAGUAGUCACACUACAGCCUUUCCCUCAGGGAGCACUGAUUUACAUGCCACUACUCUACCCUGCUGUCUGUGUUCAGGCCGUUUGGACAUCAACUCUUACAAGUGCUCAGUCCAGUUUCUGGCUCAGUCAUGCUCUAUGUCUAAUGCUGAAGUCAUGCAAUCCACCUCAAUUCAUAGAAUCAUUGAAUGGCUUUGGUCUGAAGGAACCUUUAAAGGUCACCUAGAAUAACCCCACUGCACUGAGCAGGGACAUCUUCAACUAUAUCAGAUUGCUCAGAACCCCAUCCCACCUGACCUUGGAUGUUUCCAGGGACGUGGCAUCUACUCCCUCUCUGGGAAACCUGUUCCCAUAUUUCACCACCUUCAUUAUAAAAAAAUUCUUCCUUAUAUCUAUUCUCAAUCGACCUUCUUUUAGUUUAAAACUAUUACCCCUUUUCCUAUUGCAACAAGCCCUGCUAAAAAGUUUGGCCCUAUUUUCUUAUAAGCCCUCUAAGUAUUGAAAGACAAACAUCCUUUCCUUACCUUUAAAAUAUUUUGCUACCUCGCAACGUGUUGCAAGGAUCAUGACAGCUACUCAGAUUGUGAAAAGAGUCAAAUAAGUCUAUACAGGUUUCAAAUUUAGGCAUAUCAGCAGCCUUUAUUGAGAGGGAGCACAGUCAUCUAUGCCCCACAGUGCACUAUUCUGCACUGGAAUGAACAUAAAUAUUACUCUAAAAAAACCCCAACAACCUCUCUCUCUCCUAAACCCCCAGCCACCCCACCCAAAAAAAAAAACCCAACAAAAAAAAAGCAUUACCUUCUAGCCAAUGCCUACAAAAAAAAAAAAUCAGUCUUCACUAUACAAAUAUUCCAUUAAUCCAGAUUUCCCGAUUGCUGCACAGGACUACCCACCUCUCAAACUGAAAAGUCUUGUUUAUUGAUGCAUGGCCAGGACGGCUACACUUGACAAGGACAGUUUCCUAAGAGAAAAAAAAAUCAAAAUAUUUAUAGUUAGUAUGACAGGCACACACACGACAAGAAAUAUGUAUCAAUUCUAAUGUUCCAGUUGACAGCAGUAAGUAAGGAUCAGGAAGUCCAAGGGCCUUCAGUCACCAACACACAAGGCUGCUUCAGAGGCUGUACACUGCAGUGAACUAGCAAGACCACAAGAAAGGAUUUCAAACCCCAUUCAGGUUAUUAAAUAACAACCAUCACAAAACAUGCACUUAAGUUCGACAGAAAAAUACAAACCCUUACAUGAACUUCUUUUGUACCUAGAAAGUCACAGGCAAGUAAACCCAACAUUCCUAACUGCCACCACCAGGUAGAAAAAAUGGCAAAAAGUGCUCUUUUUUCUUAUUGGGCAAAUUUUCACAGUGCCUUUUUAAACUGAUUUCAUAUAUAGUUAUGUCUAGAACUAAGCACAAGAUGCACCUUUCAUUAAAUAACAAGCUAGUCCACAACUGUGAGGAAGAGUUGCACUAGCACAAUUGGUAGAAUUCCAUGAGGUUUUAGUGGAAUCCACUUUCCAGAUGAAUUAUACAGUAGCUUUGUAAGUCCCACAAAUAUGUAAGCAGCUCUUUAUACUAUUACCAGAGUACAAUCACAGCAGACUGACAUGCCUUAUGUAGCAAAUUCUGUGCCCUUCUGCUCCUCAUGGCAGAAGUUGCCUAAUUGCUGAGUGAAGCAAAGAAAAAUUAUGUGGGGGUUUACAAGAAUUUGGGUGGAAGCUCGCUAGCACACAAAAUAAUUCUUCCCAUUCAAGGAGGUUUUCUACCUUACUAACCUGUGGUUACAGAACUGCAUUUGAUGGGAGUGCUGAAAUUCCUAAUGUGCUUCAGACAAGUGGCUUGGAAUGCUGAACUAGUGGCCUUCAAAUGAGUAUUGCCACAGACUGAAGCUCAUAAAGAGCUGAGCAAAUAAUGAUUGCAUAGCAGUAUGUCCAGCAGGCAAAUGGCUAAUAAACAUCAAAUUUCUUGCUCUGAGUUUACAAGUAUUUCUUCUUCUUUGCAGAAAGAAAAUGUAUCAUUAUCAAAGUAAUGAUGACAGAACACUUACUCUACAUAAUGAGGUAUGUUACCUACCCCAGUACUGCCAAAAUUAGCGGAGUACAGAUGUCAGUACAACACUUUGCUACAAAAUGGCCUGACACAGAAAAUCUAAUAGGAUUGGCAACCAACAGGCUAUGGGGGAAAGGAAAAAGAUAAAAAACAACAACAACAACAAACAAACACAAAAAAACCAACCAACCAACCAAAACAAAACAAAAACACAAAAAGCAAAUAGAGUUAUGGAAGACAUUUCUGAUUCAGAUAUCAAAUUUACUUGCAGAUCAGCUUUCUCUAAGGUGAGAAAUGAGAUAGAAAAAACCUCUUUGUGUAACAUAGAAACAAAAGAAUUAACUGUUAAUAGGCAGCAGUUUCAUAUGAGCAUUUGUAAUGACCUUCCUUUCUCGGAAGCUCAGUAUGGCCUAACAUAUCCACCACAGCUGCUGGCCUACAGAAUCUCAUCAAGUUUCCCUGUCAAUAGGGUUUGUGAAAUCCAUACUGCUGUCUCACAUGAACACUGAAGAAUCUUUUUUGCAUCCCAGAGUUACAGAAUACUCCCAGUCUGAGUUCUUUCAUUGCCAUAAGGAUCAUGAAAAUGACAAAAGGAUACUUCAGAAAUAUCCACAAUCAUAAAUAUUCACUAUCUGUCUUGACACCCAAGCAUGACUCCCCAGGCCUGGGUAACAGAUCAGUAAGUGAAAUUACGUAAGGCAGAGAAAUCAUUUCCAAUGAGUUAUAUGCAAUACCAGAUACAGCCAUGAUCACAGAAUCCAGCUGGGGUAAUUAUAAGUUCUCAUUGCUUGUUACUCUGUAUCUGCUGAAUGCUGUGCCCCCUUUUCCAAGACUGCUGUUCCACAGCACAGACAAUGUAAGUGAGACUGUGACUGCUCCUCAUGUGUCAGUGUCAACUUCAGUGCAACUAAGACUGGUGUGGACAGCUUAAAGGAAUAAAAUUCUAGUUGUGAUAAGCAACUGGGGAGUGAUAAUGUCUUCAUUUGCUAUGGCCAUCUGAUCUAUUAUAAAGUUAUCUCCCAAGGAAAGGAGGGAGUUAAAGGGCUCCCAAAAUCUCCUAAGGAAAGGAGGGCUGUGUUAAUUCAUGUUAAUUCUUUAAGAAACAGCAGAAUUUUGUGCCUUCCUUGAUAUUCAGUGCAGUCUCCUAGCCAUCCA